RNAcentral lists this long non-coding RNA (220 nucleotides) under Lathyrus oleraceus (garden pea). RNAcentral describes it as "Pisum sativum (pea) long non-coding RNA (PSAT_LNC020137)". The record is from RNAcentral. Lineage: Eukaryota; Viridiplantae; Streptophyta; Magnoliopsida; Fabales; Fabaceae.
GAAAAUGCGAAAUAAAAUUCCAAGAAAAGGUCAGGUUGACCAUGAGACAGUGGUCAACCUUUAUCCCAAAAAUCAAAUUCUAACAAUAAGUUUAAGUAAUAAAAAUAAAAUCAAUAAAAAAAGUGUGUUAAAAUGGACCAUUUAUAAUUAAUAAUUAAAAUGAAAUUUUAAAAUUAAAAAAGACAAAAAUAAAAAUUAUAUAAAAUUAAAUAAAACGUUA